UAAUUGAUUAAUACAAUUUUUUGUAGAUGAAUUACCUUCAUAAUUGUAUCUUAAUGAUUGUACCUUAAUUCUCAUCCACAUAUCUAUAAUACCGGACAAAAUGAUGACAAACAGCCUCCACGAUCGGCCCCACUCAAUAAGCAGCCGACCUGCUUAAAUGAAAUCUUCGACCUACCUUGGACUGUGAAAAAACUUACAAUUUUGGAAAUGUUUGCUUCUGGUCUGUCAGGUGCUAGGACCUCAGUAAGCAGCAGUGCUAUUUUUCGAAAAGGACUCCCUGGCUAAUGCUGAAAUGUCGCCAAGCGCUGCGUUGUAUAAAAACCGCUGUCGCUAAGCAAAACAAGUAAUCUACACUGGAGGAAAACUGCAGAUACACUUUUGACACAUAUCGUAGCGGAAUACGCUAUCAAUGUAGUGAUCAUCAGUGAGAAAUACAAGCGAAAAGAAACCAGAGUGGUUAGAGGACGAAAGAUGGCAACAACUAUAGGAAGAGCGUGCAGCGUUUCGAAACGAAAAACGCUUAGUAAACACGGAGGUAGAGGACAGGCGUACUUGUGGAACUACGAUACGAUGCCCAGAGUGUAAAAAAGCACUAAAAAGAGCACGACGCUCUGCAAAAUUUCACGACGAAAGCGGGGCAGAUACUGAAGGUGAUAGAACCAGGACGGCUUAUUUUUCUACUCUAAAAGAAAGGUUAUUCCCAGAAGCAUGGAAAGAGCAGACUCUGGUGCUCAUUAGGAAACUCAAAGGCGGUCCCAACACACCUUCGAGUUACCGCCCAUUCUGUAUGCUGAACACAGCUGGCAAGCUGUUAGAAAAGGUCCUAAAACCCAGACUAGUCGCUGCAGUAGAAACCGCUUAGUCCCAGACAACACGGUUUCAGAGCUGGAAAAUCCACAAUGGGAGCUAUCGAUGAAGUGGUUCCGGCAACCAGAGCUAGGCAAAGAGGAAUAACAUACUCGCGCCCGAUGGGUAGCGAUAUAUGGACGCACAUCUUAAAUGCAGAAGUAAUAAGGUGAAACCCCAUGUUAUCUGUGCAGAGAAAAGAAGCCUUAAGGAUAACAUCGGCGUACCGCAUAGUCUUUGGAGCUGCCGUGACCGUGAUAGCAGGAGUCAUACUGGUUGACUUGCUUGCCCAAAAGCGCAAGAAAAUAUGGAUUCUCCGGCAAAGUGGAGAAUUCUCGGAACAUACGGCAAAGAGCAUACAACAGAAAACCAUAGCCUCUUGGAAGUCUAGAUGAUCAUGCAAAUGAUAUGGAAGAUGGACUGCAAAAGUUAUCCCCGAUCUAGAGCAGUAGAUAUAUAGAAAGCAGAUGAAAAGUCUUUCUAUUGAGUACCUAAAUAAGAUGGGAAAACUGCUGAGUCUAACUGUAUUUACUGCGAAAAAGCAAUGGUCACGCAGAACACAGUUUCUUGAACUGCAAAAGGUAGUAUGAAGAUAGUAUCGACUUGACAAAAACUGUCGGUGAAGUCAAAGCAUAGAUACUUGCAAAGAAAGAUUUGUAUCUUCCAAAAUGUAUAAUGUUGUGAUGACUCAAUUUUUAAAGCAGAUAUAUUUCUAGGGAUUGACGUGGCAAAUGCGAAAAUGCAUUUUCAGAUACCACCUAAGAUCAGAGAGCUAUGGCGGAUAUAUUUACGCGCAUAAGGGGCGUGGCAAAUCGGCUAGAACAUUGAAAUUUUUCACAUGACCUAAUGUUACGAUUAUAUAAAGAUUGAUGAUAAA
This is a long non-coding RNA of Drosophila mojavensis, 1723 nucleotides long. RefSeq lists it as uncharacterized. The record is from RefSeq and is a predicted model, not a curated record. The transcript is spliced from 2 exons. NCBI's taxonomy places the organism in Eukaryota, Metazoa, Arthropoda, Insecta, Diptera, Drosophilidae.